CGCGCUCACGGCUCACUCAAAUAGACCCCGCCACAGAUCACAGAUUAACUGAUUUACCAUGGCAACUAGAGCCGCGUACUUUUCCCCGUCGGAAGCACAAAUCCUCAUGGAGGCAUACGAGGAGGUAAAAGAUAUAAUUAAGAAGAAAGGCAACACCGCCACAGUGAUAAAGCAAAGAGAAAAAGCGUGGCAAAGUAUUGCAGACCGCCUGAAUGCAUUAAACAUGAACUGGCCAAAACGGACAUGGCAGCAGGUCAAAAUCAAAUACAAGAACAUUCUGCAGAAUGCAGUGAAAAAGAAUACCCACAGACAAGGCACGGGUGGUGGGUCACCAAAGGCUGACCUUACCCCAGCAGAGGACAUGGCCUUGGAGCUAAAUAAAGGCAGGCCCGUCUUAGAGGGG
Oncorhynchus tshawytscha (Chinook salmon) is the source of this 403-nucleotide long non-coding RNA. NCBI's taxonomy places the organism in Eukaryota, Metazoa, Chordata, Actinopteri, Salmoniformes, Salmonidae. The record is from Ensembl.